AAAGAACAAUUAUUGAAUCGAGAAUGUGACAAUGAAUCUCAUCCAUAUAAAUCAUAUAUGAUUGGAUAAAUAUAAUCACAUGUGAUUAUAUGUAUGUAAUUAGAUAUGAUUUAUGUAGACAAUAUUUAUUUUUGUGGUUUCGAUUGAAUAAUUGCUUUUGUAUAUUUAAUCACAUAUGAUUAUAUGUAUAUCAUCACAUAUUACUUGAGGUGGACAAGAUUAAAUUUUGCCUUCUCGAUUCAAUAGUUGAGCUCAUGUACUCAAUCACAUACGAUUAUACAUAUAAUCACAUGUGAUACAAUACAUGAGAACAACUAUUGAAUUGACUAAGCAAAAAUGAAUUAUGUCCACAGAAAUCAUAUGUGAUUAGAUUCAUAUAAUCACAUGAGAUUAUGUGUAUUUAAUCACAUAUGAUUAAUUUUGAAAAAUAUUUGUUUUUGUGUUCUUGGUUCAAUAUUUCUUAUUAUGUAUAUAAUUACAUGUGAUUGUAUAUAUCUAAUCUCAUAUGAUUAAAUAAAUUUAAUCACGUAUGAUUAAAGUGGAAAAAAACAAUUAUUGAAUCGAGAAUGCGAAAAUGAAUCUUAGCCACGAAAAUCAUAUGUGAUAAGAUACACACAAUCACAUGUUAUUAUAUGUAUCCAAUCUCAUACGAUUUAUGUGGGCGAUAUUUAUUUUCGUGUUCUAGAUUCAAUAGUUGUUCUCGUGUAUUUAAUCACAUGUGAUUAUACAUAUCUAAUCAUAUAUGAUUUAUGUGAAUAAGAUUAAAAUUUCCGUUCUCAAUUCAAUAGUUAUCAUGUAUUUCAUCAUAUGUUAUUUUAUAUAUUUAAUCACAUAUGAUUUAUAUGGACAAGAUUCAUUAUUUCUUUCUCAAUUCAAUAGUUGUAUUCAUGUACUUAAUCACAUGUGAUUAUUUGCAUUUAAUCACACAUGAUAUAUAUAUGGACAAUUUUAUCUUUGUGUUCUCGAUUCAAUAGUUGUUGUCGUGUAUAUAAUCAUAUGUGAUUAUAUGUAUCUAAUCACAUAUGAUUUAUAUAGACAUCAUUAUUUUUUGUCUAUAUAAAUCAUAUGUGAUUGGAUACAUAUAACCACAUAUGAUUACAGUGUACAAAGAAGAAUUACUGAAUCAAGAAUGUGACAAUGAAUCUCAUCCACAUAAAUCAUAUAUGAUUGGAUAUAUAUAAUCACAUGUGAUUAUAUGUAUUUAAUCAGAUAUGAUUUAUGUAGACAAUAUUUAUUUUUGCAGUUUCGAUUGAAUAAUUGCUUUUGUAUAUUUAAUCACAUAUGAUUAUAUGUAUAUUAUCGCAUAUGACUUGAGGUGGACAAGAUUAAUUUUUUCCUUCUCGAUUCAAUAGUUGUGCUCAUGUACUCAAUCAUAUACGAUUAUACAUAUAAUCACAUGUGAUAAAAUACAUGAGAACAAUUAUUGAAUCGACAAAGCAAAAAUGAAUUAUGUCCACAUAAAUCAUAUGUGAUUAGAUUCAUAUAAUCACAUGUGAUUAUGUGUAUUUAAUCACAUAUGAUUAAUUUGGGAAAAUAUUUUUUUUGUGUUCUUGGUUCAAUAUUUGUUAUUGUGUAUAUAAUUACAUGUGAUUGUAUAUAUCUAAUCACAUAUGAUUAAAUGAAUUUAAUCACGUAUGAUUAAAGUCGAAAAAAACAAUUAUUGAAUCGAGAACGCGAAAAUGAAUCUUAGCCACAUAAAUCAUAUGUGAUAAGAUACACACAAUCGCAUGUUAUUAUAUGUAUCAAAUCUCAUACGAUUUAUGUGGGCGAUAUUUAUUUUCGUGUUCUCGAUUCAAUAGUUGUUCUCGUGUAUUUAAUCACAUGUGAUUAUACAUAUCUAAUCACAUAUGAUUUAUGUGAAUAAGAUUAAAAUUUGCGUUCUCAAUUUAAUAGUUGUUAUCAUGUAUUUAAUCAUAUGUUAUUUUAUGUAUUUAAUCACAUACAAUUAAUAUGAACAAAGAACAACUAUUGAAUCAAAAACAAAAAAAUGAAUCUUGUGCAUAUACGUCAUAUAUGAUUAGAUCAUAUAAUCACAUGUGAUUUAAUACACGAGAACAAUUAAAGAAUCGAGAAUGCAUAAACGAAUAUUGACUGCUUUUCUUACUAGAAAACAACCUACAUUCUACCUUUCCUUGUUCACUCUACCGGAUUAGGGUAUCCGUGAACACUAACAUAAAAUAAGUAAUGCCUACAUAAUAGGAGAGUUAGUGUAACUCACCUACUUGAACUUGGAAAUUAGCUAGCAUAAGCAAGAUAGAUCCUUUCCUUUCCGAAAACCUACACAAAAAUUAUAACAUUAUUUAGCUUGUGCUUUGCUGUAUUAAUCUUAUAAAACUUAUGUACAUAUUUCCUUAUUUUAUCUUUGAUUGUAGUGCUUUGUUUGGGAUAUGUUUUCUUACCUUUCAACCGAUUAUUCAAAUUUUAUAAAAUUAUAUUGGUAAAGUUCCCCUUUUAUCUUUUCAGAAAUAUAAAGAUAUAGUUCUAAUGAUUUCUGGUUUAUUUUAUACUAAAUUUACAAGUUAAUGUGAUUAAAAUGCAUACACUUUAUGUGAUUAGAUCGCAUGCGAUUAAAUACAUAUAAUCACAUGUGAUUAAAUCAUAUGUGAUAUAAAAGGACAUUUUAAAGAAUAUGUUUUGUAUAAUUAAUUAAGGUGUAUAUAAUCACAUGUGACUAGAUUUAUUUAAUAACAUAUAAUUAAAUUUGACUAGAAACAUAUAAUCACAUGUGAUUAACUGUAUUUUAUCACAUGUGAUUAUAUGUAUGAUGCGUAUAGUCACAUAUGAUUUAUAUAGACAAUAUUCGUUUUUGCGUUUUCUAUUUGAUAACUUUUUUCAUUUAUUUAAUCACAUGUGGUUAUAUGCAUUUAAUCACAUAUGAUUAAUGUGGAUAAAGAACAACUACUAUAUCGAGAACACAAAAAUGAAUCUUGUGCACAUAAAUCAUAUGUGAUUAUAUACAUAUAAUCAGAUGUGAUUAAAUAAACUAGAACAAAUACUUAACCAAGAACACGUAAACGAAUCUUGUCAAUAUAAAUCAUAUGUGAUUAGAUACAUAUAAUCACAUGUGAUUAAAUACGCAAGAACGACUAUUAAAUCGAGAACACGAAAAUGAGUUUUAUAUAAAUAAAUCAUAUGUGAUUCAAUACAUAUUACCACAUGUGAUUAUAUGUAUUUAAUCACAUAUGAUUUACGUAGAAAAUAUUUAUUUUAAUAUUUUCGAUUCCUAUAGUUGGUCUCAUGAAUUUAAUCACAUGUGAUUAUAUGUAUUUAAUCACAUAUGAUUAUUGAUGUUGUAUAUUUAAUCAAUAAUAUUUCAUGUAUUUUAUCACAUUUAAGUAAAUUAUUCACAUGUAAUUGAACCAUGUCAUGCACAUGUGAAUAAUCUGUUUUCGUGUCUCGAUUCCCUAACGAUCUAUUGUAAAAUGCUAUUUUUAUUGGUUUUUUUUAAUAUAUUAAAAUUUAUAAUUUUAAUUAUCUAUAAAUGGUUAUUAAUAUUGAUAUGAUAUUAUUUUAAAAAUUACGAGUUAUUUUUGGUUUUUAUAGUUUUUUUAUUUUAUAUAUUAAUCACGAUUAAAUAUAAAUAGUCAAAAAUCAUAUUGUUUUUCUUUUUAAUAUAUCGAAAGAAAAAUAAAUGGUAUACACGUUAGUUAAGAGUAGGUAUCCUAUGGUAAAUAUUAAUAUAAAAAUAUUCAUUAAUUCAAUAAUUGAUAAUAAAACGAUAUUUUUUUUAUAUGAGUUGAACUCAUAAUCAUAAUUAAAAUAAAAGAAAUUAUAUUUCGUGUUAUCGGCCGAUUGUUAAAUUUGUGAGUUGGUAAGUUGUUUAAUAAAUUUCACAAAGCCAAAAGUAAAAAGUUCAGAAUUAAAAAAAAAAGGAUUGUAGUGGGGCCUUACGUUAUCACUUUGUCGAGCCUUUUCCUUAUUUGGGAGAACUGGUAGAAACUCCCAACGUACAAGGCGUUAAGCAUAAGAGUACGUUCAUGGAUCACUAGGUCUUCCCUCUAAACACCUGCAUUCCCUAAUUUUAUACAUAAUUUGGUGUUGGCGUCGAUGCACAAGGAGAAUUGCUCCCCCUUCCUCAAUUUCAAUCACGAAGACAAAUCCAUUUCCUUCCCUAACUGUUUAUCAAACGAAAUUAGAUGUGGUUGCUCUAGAUCUGGUGGUAUUUUGCCCUAGAUUUAAUAGUUGAGGGCGGAAAAUUUCAUGAUUGCUGAAGUACAUAUGCUUCAGAUCUUAUGAAAACGGAUCCACUUUAGCUUCUCCAACAAACCAAAUCGUGGCUCAGAGCAGCGGUUCGUGUUGGUGCUUCAUGACGGUCGUUCAGGAGAGAGGAAUGACAAAAAGAGAAGGUUUAAGAAGUUGAGACGAGAAGCUGAGUAAUAUUUUUAGGAGGUUGCCACAAUAUUUCGUCGGAGAAGAAGGUGGAGGUGGUAGUUUCUGAUUAUAAGAGGAGUAGAGGCGGAGGGAGGUGGCGAACGAAUAAAUCUAGAGCUGCUGGUGUCUGACGGCGAUUUGGUGGUUCCCAGCCGCUGCCUAGUGGUUUCCGACGACGGUAUGAUGAUUUGGCGAUUUGUUCAGGUGGCCGGUGCAACAUUUCUCCGGAGAAGAAGGAUGAGGAGUUGGCUUCCGAUUGUGGGAGGAUUAGAGGUUGGGGAGAUCGUGAAGGAGCAAAUAUGGAGCCGAUGGUUUGGUGUUUCAGGCGGUGGUCUGGUGGCUCCCGACGGUUUCCGGUUGUGGUCCGGUACUGUCAGUUUAGGUCCGUAUGAGAGAAGAGAAUGGGGGAAUUUAGGUGGGUAAUUUGUAUUUGAGUAAAAACACGCGUGUUUUUGAACUUAUAGGCCAAAAAAUGCUCUCACAUUAAAAA
This 4861-nucleotide long non-coding RNA is filed under the name Lactuca sativa (garden lettuce). Its description in RNAcentral is "long non-coding RNA (LSAT_LNC005670)". The record is from RNAcentral. Lineage: Eukaryota; Viridiplantae; Streptophyta; Magnoliopsida; Asterales; Asteraceae.